UGGGGAAUAUUGCACAAUGGGCGCAAGCCUGAUGCAGCCAUGCCGCGUGUGUGAAGAAGGCCUUCGGGUUGUAAAGCACUUUCAGCGGGGAGGAAGGCGGUGAGGUUAAUAACCUCAUCGAUUGACGUUACCCGCAGAAGAAGCACCGGCUAACUCCGUGCCAGCAGCCGCGGUAAUACGGAGGGUGCAAGCGUUAAUCGGAAUUACUGGGCGUAAAGCGCACGCAGGCGGUCUGUCAAGUCGGAUGUGAAAUCCCCGGGCUCAACCUGGGAACUGCAUUCGAAACUGGCAGGCUAGAGUCGUGUAGAGGGGGGUAGAAUUACAGGUGUAGCGGUGAAAUGCGUAGAGAUCUGGAGGAAUACAGGUGGCGAAGGCGGCCCCCUGGACAAAGACUGACGCUCAGGUGCGAAAGCGUGGGGAGCAAACAGG
Molecule: ribosomal RNA, 429 nt
Filed under: Chloroflexota bacterium
Lineage: Bacteria; Bacillati; Chloroflexota
Description: Chloroflexi bacterium partial 16S ribosomal RNA
Rfam family: Bacterial small subunit ribosomal RNA
Source: RNAcentral